UUUACGAGCUGCCAGAAUCACGCACUUAUAGCAAUCUUUUUAAGCCCCGAAAUCAGACUCUUUGCUAAUUAAACAGUCAAUUAUUUGCAAAGAAUAUCAACACACAAGAUGAAUAGAUAACGAGAGCUUACAUGCAUGUAUGGCCGCUUAGAUCCGCCAUACUGACUUAACAACAAACAUCUUGGCUAACAAUUUACUAGGCGGGAAUCUCUGUUCUUAACAUUUGAAAAGCAAAUGUUUUUCCUGCAAAAACUUUGAGAUUAACUGACAGAGACACGGCAAACGAAUACCGAUAUUUACAGGUAUACAUUUGAGACUAUUCUCGACUUUUCGUCUAUUCAAAGCCUGUUUAUAGCAAGCAGAAAGAAUACGAAAGAAUGCCUGUUUAAUUAUAUGCACCUUGGGCGAGUAAACAAGGCAAAUAGAGACAAGCCACAAAACCCAGCAAGCACACCUCGAAAGGACCGACUGGUACAAGGGGAGACAGUUCCAAUCAGACUGGUGACAGUGGAACAAACAAGGCUUAAACCAACUAAUGAAAGUCGGUUUGAUCCAAAACGAAAUUUCGAAAACUGAAUUUGAUUUUGAGGUCGCAAGGCUGCAAAGAUUGCACCCUUAAAGGUUCCGACACCUUAAAUUAAAUCGGAGCACAGAGCCAGGUCAGGAAGGGUAAGACGAGGAAUUAGUGGUUGCAGGGAUAACUUAAGUUAAUAGUAAACAGAAGAAGACAAGUAAAAUCAAAGAAGACCAUGAAAGAUUUUAUUGUUACAAAUCGCCAUGUAACAUUCUGAAAGAGUUUUUAACUUCACAUCUGCUCUACUAUAAAUUUACUGGAAACAGUAUCCUUAACGGCAAAGCAGGAAUUCAAUCGAACACAUGUGGCACAGUAGAUGACAAUGAAGAUGUUAUCUUUGGGCAGGGAUAUAAUAUUCCUGAAAAUCCUGCCACAUCGACCAAAAAAAGUUCAACUUGAUAAUUUUCACUACUAAAAUAUUCAGAUAUUGUUCUAGAAACACUGCCUGUAUUUUAUACCGAGAACUGGCACAGUCUUUAGAUCAGCUACGGACGUAUGUCGGAGUUAGAGUAUCUCCUAAAAGCCCCUUGGUCUUAGUGGCUCUGAAAGGUCCCAAAAAGAUCUGAUAAAGCUAAAGGUCUAAAAGCUAGAACUAAAGAUGUCUAUUUUUAAAGUAAUUCUAGUUUGUUUUUAACACGUUUUAUUAUUAUUUGCCCUUUGAGGCAAAUAAAAACUGGUUGAAAAACUUUCAGUGACUUUUACUUUUUUUAAUAAGAACCAGAUAAUUUUUGCCGAGCCUUGAUGUUCUUAACUUUUUGAUAAUUUUAGGCUCAAAUGUUCUUAAAAAUGUUCUCACUUUAAGAGUGAUUUUUUGCAAAUAUUUGAGAAGUUACAUUCUGUACAUAGUUUCUAAGACGUUUUACUAGGUAAAGUUUAAAAAUAAAGCAAUGACUGCUUAUAAAUUGCAAAGUUUUGUUCUGUGGACAUGAUAUAAAUUUCAAAAUGCGAAUUGCAUUCUUCUCUCAUCUAUAAAUCCCUCAUCUGAAGCUGAGUGUGUUUUAGCCUUGUUCUUAUUUUUUGGACAAAUCGAGCGUUCUCAUUGUUCUUAUAAAGCGUGUUAAAAAAAGAGUGUAGAUCGAUGUUUCAAAUAAACAGAAUCUAACAACUUCUAAAUCAGUUAUAAACAAAAAAAUCUUCGACAUAUGUGACCUGUGCAGAUCUUAUGCACUUUAUCCUGGGAUUCUUUCCUUAUUAAAUAUGCUUUCUAUCGUGGUUUUAGAUUCGUGAGAUCCUUGGAACGGACUGGAUAGUUCAACAUUUCAUUGUUUCGAUAAUUAAUCGUAUACUUAAUGAAUUAGGUGAAAUUAUUAAUUACUUAAUUUCCCAAAUCGCAGUUUAAAAGGAUAGACGUCUUUCUUUUAUAAUACAGUAGCGAACAAGUCAGACUUUUCCUUUCCGCGCGAUGUGUGAUAAUUCACUCAGAAAGAUUUAGCGAAAUUAUCAUUUAGUGAAAUGCUGAAAUAUUUAGUGUCAUCUAGUCUUAAAUUCUUGACAUAAGGGCGCUUUCGAUAUGUUCCUAAUUCUUUACAUAGUAACAACUAAAUAGAGAUCUAUGGUUUUUGGGCAUUUCUUCCUGGCUUGACUAUCAACCCAUCCUACUUAACAAAGUCAUGAAAGUGAUCUAAAUUAAACUGGAGGAUGUAGAGGAUUCAGUGCAAUCCUGGCUACAAUGUGAACAUACAAACUAAUACAGGCUGCGAGGUUAAAAUUCUUCGUCUGAUAGUCUCUUUGGCCACAAUUAAUGAAAGCUCGCAUUUCGCAUCAAAGGCAGGCCGCUGAAUGAAUUUGCUCAACCUUUGGUAGGAAUGUUUGCCUUAGGAUGACGAAUGUAAUAAAAUCGACAUACAAGCGAAGGAAAAUCAAACGCUACUGUACGAUUUGCUCGUGGAAUCACGUGAUUGUGUUAACUGUUGCAGAUGUGUGUUUCGUUGAGCAGACAUUAAAGGAACCGCCGGUGAAUUAUUCCUUUGUCGGCAAAUUAGGAUGAAACGCGAGCUGGUGCCUCGUUCAAUAAAGCCUUUAACAUGUAAAAUCACUGAUACAAUAUUUGUAUAGGUUUUCAUAAUGCAUAUAAACACGCUUUACAAAUGAAUAAUGAAGCUGUAUAAAUACUGUUUAAGUUUGGAUCGCAAAAUUUUCACCCAUAACAAACUCAAUUUCCACGAAGUAAGGCACGAAAAUUAGCCUGAAGUAAAUAUAUAUGAUUUAAUAUUCUUUAGAAACACAAAGCAAUUAUCACCAAAGGGCUUAUUGCUAUUCGCAAACUUUGUGGAAGUCGUGAAACAGAACCAUGCUAAUUAAUCUAAUGUUCUCCCUGGCAUGGCAACGGAGGCUGCGAAGGCGCACUUAGAGACAAGUGGGGAACUGGUAACGAAAGCUUAUUUGGAACACGUCCACUACCGAAUUACGUCAACCUUCAGAGAAUUAUGCUGUGCAUUGAAGCACCUUCUCUACCACGGCUACUCCGAAGCAGUUCUCAGUUAGGCUUCCAACGGUCCGUCCCAUUCAUCCCUUCACCCUCACAUCUCAAAUGCAUCGCUUCAUAUUUUACUUUCUUCAAAAUAAUUUUGCCUUCGUUGCCUUUGCCCUAGAAUACAAGGAUCACGGCCUGCAGUAAUCGAUGUUUUUAAUAAUUUAUUCACAAACCUUUGCAGUGUAAAAUUUUUGCAAAAAUCCAAACAUCUUAAUACAAAAUCCACACACUCGAAAAAUAAAAAGGAAGGAUGCCAAUUUACACAAAGGCAAGUAAAAAAUCCAAUUCAUUUGCAGGUGGCUCAAAACUGGGGUUAACGAUAUUUCAUUACUCGGUAAGUCAAAAUCGGUAAGUUCAAAGUAUUGAAUUUAACAAGGCAGAAACUGCAUCACCAAGUGAGCUAAAUAAUAAAAGCGAAGGACAAUAGCUUCUCCAUCCUUUACCAGAUGGGACUCAGCCGAGCUCGAAAAUACCAGCUACAUAUUUCAUGUUGGGAAAUUAAAUAUUUAAUCGUGCAGCCAUUAACAUGGAAGACGAAAUAAUUUUCAUUUGGAAGAAAUGAGGCAAAUCUCAUGUUUGAAUGGAGUUAAUUACAUACCAGAUGAUUGCACGGCGUGGAAGGAGAUUGAAUGAAUGAAGAAAAAUGAAUGAAAUUGCAAGAGAAUACAUACUUAAAAAUCUCAAACAUUAAUGAUAAAAAUACAUUCUUUCAACAUUUCAUAAAAAGCUUAGCAAAUGAUUUCUGCUCUACCGUCGAUUUUUGUGAAAAAUGUCAUGAAAAAAAACUAGAAAAUUGAUGGAGGCGUGCUUUGUACAAGAUUUUUCUUUAUUGCAUCAAAUAAUGGACAGACCGACGGUUCCCAGACCCAAACAAAAGCUCAGAUCGAAGUCAUGAUUUCCAAUCUACAAAACUUGAACUGAAAAUACCUGAUGUCCUGCAAAAUACUUGCUGUUCUUCUUCGGCCAUCUCCGAUUAGCACACAACAAACAAGUGCCAGUGUUUUGUCGAAAAGCUUAUCUGUAUUAAUUGUUGUAAACAGAAAAUUUAAAAUAAUCUUUUCCAAGUUGGCUUAAAGGGAGCCCAGUCACGGAUAAUCUUCUAAAGUUAUAUUGAUAUUUGCUAUGUUUACAUUCAGUUUAAUUUAACGAAUUAACAGGAAUAUUGGUAAAGCAAUGCUAAUCCAAGCGCAAGUACUUCAAGGUCAGGGCUACCCGUGCGCCCUUCAUUACAAGAACUAAAAUGGAUUAAAAUCCGAUUUUCAUUCGGCAGUUGUUAAACAGAUAGGAGAUUGUGACCUAUCUGGAGUAAACAGCAAAGGCCUUUGGAACGAGCCUUAAGGGCGCCGUAAACACUCCGAAGGAGCCUUUCUCAAAGUUGUAGCAAUUUGCAAGCUGUCUUAUCGCCAAACUGCUGUGGCAACCAACAACAACAGCCACAGCUAUUUGUUUCUGAAGUUUUCAAGCGGCUUGAAGUUGCACGAAAUGUUGCUGGUCAUUUCGAAAGCAGGGCUUGUGAGAAAAUGUCUGUUUACAUUGAUAUUGAGACUAUAUGAGCUAUCAAAAUGCUAUCUCAAACUCAACCCUUUUAUUACCUAAGGCCCAACGUAAAUCAAUCGAUAGUGCUGAAUAUAUAAAAACCAGAUGCACUUGAAGAGUUAAUGCAUCUAUUUGUUUUUUUAAGUCUAUUUUGCUUUCAUAAACACACGAUACUUGAGCAGAAUAGUUAACGACAAAAUCAUCAGUUAAUCAAAUAAGGAUGAGGUCCUAAAUAUGAGAUCCUGUAUAAUUUUGAUGCCCUGUCGAUCCGUGUCCAAACAUGAGAGAUCUCUAGAGCAGUGCCAACUUGAAGUCCAACAUACGCAUCCUAGUUCGGAAUUAUUUGCUCUUGAAUAUAGCGAGACUUAUUAAAUCUGGGUUUAUUUUACCAAGAAUUUAAUUAAAAUCUCCGAAGUUCGUCAAAACAGAUCAAAGACGACCGAAGGCAUCCUUAGUGCAAAUAUGGCUACUUGACUAAACAUUGUAUAAUAGAAAAGACUUUCAUUCAUCUAUCGGUGUGCUCUUGGUAACCUGACCCUGCUGCUCGCAUUAUCAAUUGUGUAUCAAAGGUCAGACGGAGUUCACCUAUGGCCAAUAGGCACUCGCGAAAUUUGAACAAAAUGGCGCAUUCAGUUGUAUACAUGAUACGCGUAUGAUGGGUCUGUUUUACGUUCGGAGCCUUUCAGGGGAUAAGGUUCAGUUUCAUAUGUGUGUCUUAUUUACCCAGAAUCGAUUCAAGUGCCUUUCACUUCUAACCGCGCAUUACUCACUGGAUCUUACCAAAAUAGCUCAUGAUUUCGUACGCGGAUGAAAAGCCUGCGCCAGAAUUGAACGUCUAUCCUAAACCCAAAGACAAUGAAGAAAGAGCUUCGCGUAGUGCGAGGCCUGGUGGCAAAUCAGGCAAAGCACCUACGUCAUAAUAUAUCAAAUAGACUGAUGUUGAGAAAUGGAAAAAGCUUUGACAUAGCGCCAGCAGAAAAGGUCAUUUGGUUGCCUUACGAUUAACAGGACCGUAACGAUGUUUCUUCGACCGACUCCUGCGACGAUAAUUUGGCUCGGAAAUAAUGACCACUGAUCUCACUAAAUAGAGAAUCUUCCUGAAAGCUAAUCAGAUAAGAAGCAACCAAACAGAAUACACUUGAAAUGGCUCCAUUACGGAAAUUGCUACUUCAAAGCAGUUGGCAAAAACCAAAGACCAUUUCGGGACUAAAUGGCUUAACUUAUGAAUCACAAAUAACCAGCACACUUACAUAGCAAAACCAAAGAUAGUCUCGACCUUGUGUAAGACUGUUGGGCGUUCUUAAUCAAUGGGAGAUUUAUGGACAAGUCAACAAACACACAUGGUUUCAAAAAGAGACGGGGACACACGCAAGAUUCGAUUUAGAUAGGCAUACUAUUGUGGAGUGGGGGCCAACUUCAGGUGUCCAGAUCUGAGUUAAAAUACACUUUUCUUAAAAAUGUAUUAAUUUUCUUAAAAAUCAAAUAGGGUUGUGAUUUCAAGUGUAUAUAUACAUUAGCACUUCACCAGUCAAGGAUUAAUGGUUUCUCAAAAAUAUUAAGUUACAUCGACUUGGUGGGAAAAUAAUGAGUAGAAGGUAUGAUACUGUGCACAAGUUUUUCAGUUAGUUUCGGCUCUUUCCGCAGGUUUGCAUUUAAUAACCUACAGACUAAUUGCGGACAAUUUCUAUUCAAAUGAUAUUAUUUCCUCUUUUAAAGUUAAAGCUCGCAUUUUUAUCAGUGGCGUAGCUUGCGGUGUAAGCGUAGAAAUUUGUAGAAAAACUCUAAAAUUCUUGCAACACUUUUAACGGUUAUAAAUACGUUGUAGUGUUAAAGUCAAUGCAUAAAAUUUUCCGCAAUAAACGGCUUCUCUUUCUGGUCAUGAGCAGCAUGCAGUGAACUCCAGCGCAAACAUGCCAAUUGGCUUUUUAUCCAAAUGGUAAAAUUCGAAAAAUGGUGAAAUUCGAAAAAUCUGAAAAACUGAAGCGCUUCCACGCCACUCUUUUUGCCUAUCUGCAAUAAGAGAAACAAGCGAUGCUCCAGUGCAGCUUCAGCGCGGCUCAAUAGAAGCUUUUGAAAGAAGUGAGAAUUUCAUGGACUGGAGCUUGCGGUCAUUCUGAAAUUACGAUUUAAUUCAUUUGACAUAACCGUAUAUUAUAUGUUACCGCAUGCCUCAGUUCUGCGCUCACGCUACGCCACUGAUUUCUGUUGAAUUUACCUCAAAAUUCAAGCAUGCCAAUUUUCUUACUUUAUUUCUUUGAUACUUCAAAGUAAUGUGUGUUCAUUCUUUUAAUCGGCCCCUUUGCAACCAAUUAAGGAUGGCGUGUCAGCUAUCUUAAUUAAUGUUUAUGUGAUAUUUUCAAAAAUUAAUAACCCAAAUUAUCUAAUCAAAGAAUGUUGACAUUGUAACAUGGUGUAUUGUAACCUCGGGCAUAUUACAAAACAGCCAUUGCACACAGUCACCCUACAAGCCUCUGCUUUAAGCCUCUGCUUUCAGCGACGACGAGUGAACCACGGGCCAAUGUUUGGCGGAUUCAUAAUGAAACCAGCUAUGUAGCCAUAGAAGAAAGAGAAAGAACUGGAAUAUCAAGAACAUUCACUGACACAAGACCACUGCAAACACAAAACUGAUUAAUGUAAAGCUAGGAAUGUCAACGAGAGAGGGACCUCUAGUAAACAGUUAGCUCAAAUUUCCACUGCCUCCUUUUCGUCUACAUUGGAAGCCUACAAUUUAAAAGUUUCCGAUUGGGAAAUCCAUUCACCUCCACAAAAGAUCAUGCUCCUGCAAAGAGGCACGAAUAAGAACAACAAGAUACGUCCGAGAACCGGGCACAGAAAACCGGCCUAUCGAUCCUCCAACCUGGCUGGCCACUUUUGAUUUAGAACUGUUUUCAAUAUAGAUGAAUCUGUAAGUGGUUGCUAUAUAUCCUUUCAAAACAGAAAACAGACAAAGGUGCUAGGAAUACAGAAGAUUUGUUGGCUGGUGAGCUUGUUUGAGAGAGGUAUGGUUAACGGAUUGAACAAGAAAUAACAGGGGAGGACAAUAGACCCAUUAAAAAAAGAUUGUACAUAGCAGGGCAAACAUCGGAAUAAGAAGGUGGAAAAAGAUAUCAUAGAAAAAAUGAUAGUACCAGAACAGAGAAAGUUGCAAAAAAUGAGGAUUUAAAGAGUCACGCACAAACCAUUUACGUUUUUGCUCUGAUAUUACAGACUCGUUUUAUCACGAGUGCUGUAUUGCUGAACAUUGGCGAAAACCUAGCAUGAUCUGGUGCUACAAACAUAAAAGUACAGUGUCUGGAAUCUUAUAUUUAAAUCAUGUGAAGCAGUCAGGAUUCCCUUCUAAUUGAGUUUCUAACCAAGGAAAUCCAUCCUUCAAAUUUUUACCUUUGACAGAAAAGAAAAUCAAACCAACCCCCCUCUCUGAGAUAUUUCUUAUGUACCGCUCAUACCAAAGAAUCUAAGGUAUAGAGGAAGCCAGCCCAAGGACCUCAAUAGAUUGGCAAGGGGAUUUGAGGGACAAUCUAUGUAAUCAAGAUUUAGGUAAAAACGUUUAAAAUCGUCUAGGAAAGAAAUAAACCUGAAAAUUAUCAAUAUGAGACUAAAAUAAAGCAAUAAAAUUCCCGCUUGAGGUAACACUGCACACUUUUGUAUUCAGAAGAAAACUUUCAGUUUAAUAAAACAAAUCACGGAAACCACGGCCAGCAGAAAUUUGGACUGGAAUUUUCAAACCGUUAAUUAAAUAACAAUGAACGAUAAUUCUGAAAAAUGAAGCAUUAUUGUCCCGGCCUUGCUUGUAAAGUUUCUCAACUGAUUUAAGGCUCUGAUAGAGCCUGAAAAAUUACUGUCACUACAGAAAUAAAUGGAUUUCGUAUCAAGAAAGCUUGAAUGUACUGUUAUCAAUUUAGACAGGAUAGCGAUAGAAAUGCACUCACCUCUAAAUCGUCUUCCUCUUUCUCCAGAAUUUGAAACGCUUUACGCAACAAUUCCUCGCCAACACCGCGAAUGCACUCUCUAUGAAAGUGCAAAACAUAGAUUACCUUUCACGGCACGACCAAAACCCAAAAUAUGACCCCUAAAUUCCAUGUUUUGUUAAAAGUGACGUUGCUACUUAAAUAUUGAGAUAUUUGACAGACCUAAGAGCUUUGAAAAUUGAUUUAUCUGCGAUAAAUGACAGCUGCUAGUAUAGAUUUGCUCCGCUUCAAAUGUCAAGAUCACCAAAAACAUCAAAUACAUAUACAUAGGAACCGAAGAUGAGAUGUUAAAACAGAUAGAGUGGAGGACAUAAAGAAUGAUCUUGCUGUGAAAGUACGUAUAUUUUUGCACAUGGCUGCUUUUUUGAAUUGUUUACGUUUAUACCCGAGACAAUAAUCUACAUAUUCGCUCAUGGGAGUUUCAAUCUAUACGAUCGAAGAAAAUUAUAAGCUAAAAGCAAAGAGGUCACAAAUUGCAAGUAAAGAGUAAGAAAAUGCUUACAGAAAUAUGUUUCAAAUUAGUUAAAGCCGGAAUGUUGCAAAACGGCAAAAAGAGAAGGAAGAAACUUAAUUAUGCUUUGACCAAAUGCAUUAGGAUUCUUCACAAAAAAAUAGAAAACCUUCAAGGUUUACCUUCUAAGGCGUUCGAUUCUAUCGUUAAGUCUUCCAGAGACAGUAUGUGAUAACGACGGAUGUUCAUUUUCGGCUGCAAAUGAUAAAGAAAAAGUUUUACAAUAACUCAAAAUCGAACGCAGAAUACCUACUUGCAAAUGAAAGGUAUUAAUAUUCAUCUAGAGUAAAUAAUCAAAAUUACUUUUUAUCAUUCUGUCAUAAAGUGUUUGAUGCCGUAUAGCUGUACACGCAGUUGCCUGACGAUCGUAGGGUGAAACUCGGAGUAACAACCUUGAACCGUAAUGUUCUUUACACCAAACCGUAAUUAAAGUAUAUAUACUUACAGUCAGUUAGUUGUUUAUUCAAUAAAUUUCAUUCAAAAUUUAUUGCCUUCCCUAAUAAAUCAAAGAGUAACAAAUCAAUAUUAAACGACUCUUUGGUACUGAAAAACUUAAAAGUAGCAAAAAAAUCGGAAACAAACUAUUAUAAAUAUAGAAGGAAUACAAGCAGGAUAAGCGGUCCGCCGGAUUCCGUGAAUCUUCGAACGAGUAAUUAGAGAAACUAUUACAGUAAUUAUAAAACGAUGCCUUUGAUGAUGUCUUGUAUGCCGGAGCGAAAUAAUAGUUUUGCACUCAAUUCAUUUCAAAAUUCAAUUUCACAUGUUGGAUUUUCAUAGUCGUUUUGUUUUGUUCAUGCCUAUUACCUAUUAUGAAUGUUACAAUAAAAAACUUAACCCAUAAGAAUAAUGACCAAAAGGUAAGGGAAAGAAUUACACUGAGGUGUGGAUUGAAUUUCUGCAUGGAAAACUCCAGAUCAAUUAACGCUUUUUUACCAGAAUCGCGACAGACAGCACAGAAAAUUGUUUUUUUUGAAGAACAUAAUGCUUUUAACUUAUGGGCGAACGAUCAAAGGUCAACGUAAAGUUCCAUAACGAAUAAGAGCAAACCUUUAUGUGCAAACAAGAGCGAUUCUGUAACGAUUUUCCGAGAAUUCAGAAUUUCUCCCUGUGCUAUUGAAAAAGGCUAAUACCUCUGAAAUACAGUCUUUGCUUUCAAACAGCGAAAAAAGAUUCUUAAACUCUUUAAAGAUAGACAAUAGAUUGUUUUACCUUCGAA
Rhopilema esculentum is the source of this 10278-nucleotide non-coding RNA. The record is from RefSeq and is a predicted model, not a curated record. Lineage: Eukaryota; Metazoa; Cnidaria; Scyphozoa; Rhizostomeae; Rhizostomatidae.